This 253-nucleotide ribosomal RNA is filed under the name uncultured prokaryote. Its description in RNAcentral is "partial 16S ribosomal RNA". It matches the Rfam family "Bacterial small subunit ribosomal RNA", at positions 525 to 777 of the family's 1533-position model. The record is from RNAcentral.
ACGUAGGGUGCGAGCGUUAAUCGGAAUUACUGGGCGUAAAGCGUGCGUAGUCGGCCAUUCAAGUCGGGUGUGAAAGCCCCGGGCUCAACCUGGGAAUUGCAUUCGAUACUGUGUGGCUAGAGUUCGGCAGAGGGAAGUGGAAUUUCUGGUGUAGCGGUGAAAUGCGUAGAUAUCAGAAGGAACAUCAGUGGCGAAAGCGACUUCCUGGACCAGAACUGACGAUCAGGCACGAAAGCGUGGGGAGCAAACAGGA